GAUGAACGCUGGCGGCGUGCCUAAUACAUGCAAGUCGAGCGAACAGAUGAGGCUCUUGCUCCUCUUUCGUUAGCGGCGGACGGGUGAUUCACACGUGUCUAACCUACCUAUAAGACUGGCAUACCUUCGGGAAACCGGAUCUCAUACCGGUUAAUCUAUUGAACCGCAUGGUUCAAUAGUGAAAGCCGUUUUUGCUGUCACUUAUUGAUGUUUCCUCGCCGCAUUAGCUAGUUGGUAAGGUAACGGCUUACCAAGGCAACGAUGCGUAGCCGACCUGAGAGGGUGAUCGGCCACACUGGAACUGAGACACGGUCCAGACUCCCACGGGAGGCAGCAGUAGGGAAUAUUCCGCAAUGGGCGAAAGCCUGACGGAGCAACGCCGCGUGAGUGAUGAAGGUCUUCGGAUCGUAAAACUCUGUUAUUAGGGAAGAACAAAUGUGUAAGUAACUAUGCACGUCUUGACGGUACCUAAUCAGAAAGCCACGGCUAACUACGUG
Molecule: ribosomal RNA, 497 nt
Filed under: uncultured bacterium
Lineage: Bacteria
Description: partial 16S ribosomal RNA
Rfam family: Bacterial small subunit ribosomal RNA
Source: RNAcentral